Molecule: ribosomal RNA, 459 nt
Filed under: Homonota septentrionalis
Lineage: Eukaryota; Metazoa; Chordata; Lepidosauria; Squamata; Phyllodactylidae
Description: partial 16S ribosomal RNA
Rfam family: Bacterial large subunit ribosomal RNA
Source: RNAcentral
UUGUUCUCCAAAUAGGAACUAGUAUGAACGGCUAAAAUGAGGGCCCAACUGUCUCCUUUAGCAAGCCAAUGAAAACUGAUCUUUCAGUACAAAAGCUGAAAAUAAACACAUAAGACGAGAAGACCCUGUGGAGCUUUAAACUACCACUAGACCACCCACCCCAGACUAGCCAGCAGUUUUAAGUUGGGGCGACUACGGGACCAAAAAAACACCCGCGAGCCAGGGCCCACAGCCCGCUACUGGCCCACAUGCCAAAAGCACACUAACACUCGACCCAGCCAUCACUGAGCAACGAACCCAGUUACCCCAGGGAUAACAGCGCCAUCCUCUUAAAGAGUCCAUAUCGCCAAGAGGGCUUACGACCUCGAUGUUGGAUCGGGACACCCAGGCGGUGCAGCCGUGCCAAAGGUUCGUUUGUUCAACGACUAACGUCCCACGUGAUCUGAGUUCAGACCGGAG